RNAcentral lists this ribosomal RNA (498 nucleotides) under uncultured bacterium. Its description in RNAcentral is "bacterial SSU rRNA". It matches the Rfam family "Bacterial small subunit ribosomal RNA", at positions 899 to 1397 of the family's 1533-position model. The record is from RNAcentral.
ACUCAAAUGAAUUGACGGGGGCCCGCACAAGCGGUGGAGCAUGUGGUUUAAUUCGACGCAACGCGAAGAACCUUACCUGGGCUUGAACAGUUAUUGACAGUGGUAGAGAUAUCAUUUUCCGCAAGGACAGUAGCAGAGGCGCUGCAUGGCUGUCGUCAGCUCGUGUCGUGAGAUGUUGGGUUAAGUCCCGCAACGAGCGCAACCCUUGCCCUUAGUUGCCAGCGAGUAAAGUCGGGAACUCUAAGGGGACUGCCCGGGUUAACCGGGAGGAAGGUGGGGAUGAUGUCAAGUCCUCAUGGCCCUUAUGUCCAGGGCUACACACGUGCUACAAUGGGUGGUACAGACCGGAGCAAAGCCGCGAGGUGGAGCAAAUCGGAGAAAGCCGCCCUCAGUUCGGAUUGCAGUCUGCAACUCGACUGCAUGAAGUUGGAAUCGCUAGUAAUCGUGUAUCAGAACGAUACGGUGAAUACGUUCCCGGGCCUUGCACACACCGCCCGU